AGCUUUGCACAGUGGCAAUAUCGUAGCCAAUGAGGUUUAUCUGAGGCACGAUUAUUGCUAACUGAAAAGAAAAAAAAAAAGGUCUGAGUCACACUACAAGAAAAAGUCACAGAAAAAAUAGGAACAUUAUCCCCAAC
Trichechus manatus latirostris (Florida manatee) is the source of this 137-nucleotide small nuclear RNA. RefSeq annotates it as U4 spliceosomal RNA. NCBI's taxonomy places the organism in Eukaryota, Metazoa, Chordata, Mammalia, Sirenia, Trichechidae. The record is from RefSeq and is a predicted model, not a curated record. The transcript has a single exon.